Molecule: ribosomal RNA, 553 nt
Filed under: uncultured bacterium
Lineage: Bacteria
Description: partial 16S ribosomal RNA
Rfam family: Bacterial small subunit ribosomal RNA
Source: RNAcentral
UAGGGAAUCUUCGGCAAUGGACGAAAGUCUGACCGAGCAACGCCGCGUGAGUGAAGAAGGUUUUCGGAUCGUAAAACUCUGUUGGUAGAGAAGAACGUUGGUGAGAGUGGAAAGCUCAUCAAGUGACGGUAACUACCCGGAAAGGGACGGCUAACUACGUGCCAGCAGCCGCGGUAAUACGUAGGUCCCGAGCGUUGUCCGGAUUUAUUGGGCGUAAAGCGAGCGCAGGUGGUUUAUUAAGUCUGGUGUAAAAGGCAGUGGCUCAACCAUUGUAUGCAUUGGAAACUGGUAGACUUGAGUGCAGGAGAGGAGAGUGGAAUUCCAUGUGUAGCGGUGAAAUGCGUAGAUAUAUGGAGGAACACCGGUGGCGAAAGCGGCUCUCUGGCCUGUAACUGACACUGAGGCUCGAAAGCGUGGGGAGCAAACAGGAUUAGAUACCCUGGUAGUCCACGCCGUAAACGAUGAGUGCUAGAUGUAGGGAGCUAUAAGUUCUCUGUAUCGCAGCUAACGCAAUAAGCACUCCGCCUGGGGAGUACGACCGCAAGGUUGAAAC